GACGAACGCUGGCGGCGUGCUUAACACAUGCAAGUCGAACGGAAAGGCCCUGCUUUUGUGGGGUGCUCGAGUGGCGAACGGGUGAGUAACACGUGAGUAACCUGCCCUUGACUUUGGGAUAACUUCAGGAAACUGGGGCUAAUACCGGAUAGGAGCUCCUGCUGCAUGGUGGGGGUUGGAAAGUUUCGGCGGUUGGGGAUGGACUCGCGGCUUAUCAGCUUGUUGGUGGGGUAGUGGCUUACCAAGGCUUUGACGGGUAGCCGGCCUGAGAGGGUGACCGGCCACAUUGGGACUGAGAUACGGCCAAGACUCCAACGGGAGGCAACAGUGGGGAAUAUUGCACAAUGGGCGGAAGCCUGAUGCAGCAACGCCGCGUGCGGGAGGACGGCCUUCGGGUUGUAAACAGCUUUCGCCUGUAACGAGGCGUGAGUGACGGUAAUGGGUAAAGAAGCACCGGCUAACUACGU
Molecule: ribosomal RNA, 467 nt
Filed under: uncultured bacterium
Lineage: Bacteria
Description: partial 16S ribosomal RNA
Rfam family: Bacterial small subunit ribosomal RNA
Source: RNAcentral